Molecule: ribosomal RNA, 712 nt
Filed under: uncultured Spiroplasma sp.
Lineage: Bacteria; Bacillati; Mycoplasmatota; Mollicutes; Entomoplasmatales; Spiroplasmataceae
Description: bacterial SSU rRNA
Rfam family: Bacterial small subunit ribosomal RNA
Source: RNAcentral
GAGUUUGAUCAUGGCUCAGGAUUAACGCUGGCGGCAUGCCUAAUACAUGCAAGUCGAACGGAGUAGCAAUACUUAGUGGCGAACGGGUGAGUAACACGUAUCUAAUCUACCAUUUAGUGGGGAAUAACUGUUGGAAACGACAGCUAAUACCGCAUAAUAUUGCUGGAUAAUUUCCAGUAAUGAAAGGAGCUUUCAAGCUCCGCUGAUUGAUGAGGAUGCGGCGCAUUAGCUAGUUGGUAGGGUAAUGGCCUACCAAGGCAAUGAUGCGUAGCCGAUCUGAGAGGAUGAACGGCCACAUUGGGACUGAGACACGGCCCAAACUUCUACGGAAGGCAGCAGUAGGGAAUUUUUCACAAUGGGCGAAAGCCUGAUGGAGCAAUGCCGCGUGACUGAUGAAGGUCUUCGGAUUGUAAAGGUCUGUUGUAAGGGAAGAAAUGGUAAAACAGGAAAUGGUUUUAUCUAUGACGGUACCUUACCAGAAAGCCACGGCUAACUAUGUGCCAGCAGCCGCGGUAAUACAUAGGUGGCAAGCGUUAUCCGGAUUUAUUGGGCGUAAAGGGUGCGUAGACGGUUUUGCAAGUCUGAGGUUAAAUUUAGGAGCUCAACUCCUAAUCGCCUUGGAAACUACAAGACUAGAGUAUAGGAGAGGUUAGUGGAAUUCCAUGUGUAGCGGUGGAAUGUAUAGAUAUAUGGAGGAACACCAGUGGCGAAG